This 335-nucleotide unclassified non-coding RNA is filed under the name soil metagenome. Its description in RNAcentral is "partial contains 5.8S ribosomal RNA, internal transcribed spacer 2, and large subunit ribosomal RNA". The stretch from base 1 to 120 matches the Rfam family "5.8S ribosomal RNA", at positions 35 to 154 of the family's 154-position model. The record is from RNAcentral.
GAUGAAGAACGUAGCGAAAUGCGAUAAGUAGUGUGAAUUGCAGAAUUCAGUGAAUCAUCGAAUCUUUGAACGCACAUUGCGCCCUUUGGUAUUCCUUAGGGCAUGCCUGUUCGAGUGUCAUUUAAACCUUCAAGCCCUGCUUGGUGUUGGGUGCCUGUCCCGCCCCCGCGCGUGGACUCACCUCAAAUCCAUUGGCGGCCCCCGCAAGGCCACGAGCGCAGCAGAAACGCAAACUCGUGUGCCCGGCGGGCGGCUCCCAGAAGCUACACCCACCAUUUUGACCUCGGAUCAGGUAGGGAUACUCGCUGAACUUAAGCAUAUCAAUAAGCGGAGGA